RNAcentral lists this long non-coding RNA (227 nucleotides) under Homo sapiens (human). RNAcentral describes it as "non-protein coding lnc-EVA1C-2:2". Lineage: Eukaryota; Metazoa; Chordata; Mammalia; Primates; Hominidae. The record is from RNAcentral.
AAUUAAUGAUCCAUCAGCUGUUUCUGAACUUCAGGAUAGUUGGAGGCCCAGCUUCAGGGAUCACGUCUUCUGUGAGGUCACAAAGGAAAUUACGCCUUCAAGAAUGCACUGUUCAAGCCAUAUCCUUGACUCCGAUGAAUCAAUCAGGAAAGGGCUAUUGUUAUAAAUAAGCAAAUGAGACUGGUCAUCAAGCAACUGGUCCUCAAGCCUUCUUUCAAAUUCUCACC